AACAUCGCGCACCUGCGGGAACCUGCGGAGGGAUCAUUAGCGAGUUGCAAAACUCCCAAACCAUUGUGAACCUACCUAUACCGUUUCUUCGGCGGGCGGCCUACGCCCUAACCUGCCGCCCCUUCGCGGGGCUGGCGGACCCGCCGGAGGCCCCUAAACCAUUAGCUUAUUUGGCACUUCUGAGUACAACUUUCAAUUAGUUAAAACUUUUAACAAUGGAUCUCAGAUCGGAAGAGCACA
This 240-nucleotide unclassified non-coding RNA is filed under the name soil metagenome. RNAcentral's name for it is "partial contains 5.8S ribosomal RNA, internal transcribed spacer 2, and large subunit ribosomal RNA". The record is from RNAcentral.